UGAAUACGAGACGCUAAGGCGUUGAAGUAGUGUAUGUCAUACUUCCAAGAAAAGCUUGCACUGUCAUAGAUAAAAAACGCCUGUACCAUAACCGACACAGGUGGGUAGGUAGAGUAUACUAAGGGGCGCGAGAUAACUCUCCCUAAGGAACUCGGCAAAAUAACUCCGUAACUUCGGGAGAAGGAGUGCCUUAUUUAUAAGGCUGCAAUAACAAGAUCCAAGCAACUGUUUAUCAAAAACACAGGUCUCCGCUAAGUCGUAAGACGAUGUAUGGGGGCUGACGCCUGCCCAGUGCCAGAAGGUUAAAGAAGUUGGUUAGCAAUAGCGAAGCUGAUAACUGAAGCCCUGGUGAACGGCGGCCGUAACUAUAACGGUCCUAAGGUAGCGAAAUUCCUUGUCGGGUAAGUUCCGACCCGCACGAAAGGCGUAAUGAUUUGGAUACUGUCUCGGAGAGGGGCUCGGUGAAAUAGACUUGUCUGUGAAGAUGCGGACUACCUGCACCAGGACAGAAAGACCCUAUGAAGCUUUACUGUAACCUGAAAUUGAAAUUGGACUUUAUUCGCGCAGUAUAGGUGGGAGGCGUUGAUUGUAAUCUUGCGGGAUUAUUGGAGCCAUCAGUGAGAUACCACCCUUGUAAUGUUAGAUUUCUAACUUUGAAUCAUUAUCUGGUCAAAGAACAGUUUCAGGCGGGCAGUUUGACUGGGGCGGUCGCCUCCUAAACGGUAACGGAGGCGUACAAAGGUUUCCUCUGAACGGUUAGAAAUCGUAUCUAGAGUGUAAAGGCAUAAGGAAGCUUGACUGUGAGACCUACAAGUCGAGCAGGGACGAAAGUCGGUCUUAGUGAUCUGACGGUACUGAGUGGAAAGGCCGUCACUCAACGGAUAAAAGUUACUCUAAGGAUAACAGGCUGAUCUCCCCCAAGAGUUCACAUCGACGGGGAGGUUUGGCACCUCGAUGUCGGCUCAUCGCAUCCUGGGGCGGUAGUACGUCCCAAGGGUUGGGCCGUUCGCCCAUGAAAGCGGUACGCGAGCUGGGUUCAGAACGUCGUGAGACAGUUCGGUCCAUAUCCGGUGUAGGCGUUAGAAUAUUGAGAGGAGCCUUCUUUAGUACGAGAGGACCGAGAAGGACAUACCUCUGGUGUACCAGUUAUCGUGCCAACGGUAAACGCUGGGUAGCUAUGUAUGGAGUGGAUAACCGCUGAAAGCAUCUAAGUGGGAAGCCCACCUCAAGAUAAGUA
Molecule: ribosomal RNA, 1237 nt
Filed under: metagenome
Description: bacterial LSU rRNA
Rfam family: Bacterial large subunit ribosomal RNA
Source: RNAcentral